This 432-nucleotide long non-coding RNA is filed under the name Polistes fuscatus (common paper wasp). Its description in RNAcentral is "uncharacterized LOC122515680". Lineage: Eukaryota; Metazoa; Arthropoda; Insecta; Hymenoptera; Vespidae. The record is from RNAcentral.
AGUCUUUCUUAAAAACAAGGAUAUAAACUCAAUCAUAGCAACGUAUCUGUUACAUUUAAUAGAACGAUUUCUUUAACGUGUUUCUAUCACAAUUUGCUUUAGUUAGAAGCAAAUUAAUCGUCAAAGUGUUGAUCGAUCGUUUGAUUUUGUGUGGAAAUAUUGGAAGUUACUAUCCACAGGAUGAAAUCUUUCCGGACAAGUUUUAUCUUAAUGAUAAUCUUGUAUUUUGGAUUGAUAGAAUUGGUUAUGAGCAAACCAACUGUGCCACCUCAAAAUGAUAAACUAACACAUUUAACUACAACAAAAACUACAACUACAACUUACCCCGAUCCACAUGGUAAUAACCACGCUAUCAUAAAUACAAAACCUAUAGGAUGUAAUACAGGAGAAAAAAGAGACGAAUAUGGCAUGUGUAGGACUACGGUAUCAAAA